This is a long non-coding RNA of Metopolophium dirhodum (rose-grain aphid), 469 nucleotides long. RefSeq lists it as uncharacterized. NCBI's taxonomy places the organism in Eukaryota, Metazoa, Arthropoda, Insecta, Hemiptera, Aphididae. The transcript is spliced from 4 exons. The record is from RefSeq and is a predicted model, not a curated record.
AAAAUAUUUGCAUGGAGUGUAAAUAAUGCCAAAGGAAAAAAAUGCCAAUUCCGUUCUACCAGGACGCCGAUCGCUGCAAUAAUACAUCCAUAGCUAGUGAGAUUAAUUAAACACUGCAGUUGAGGUGUAACAGCAUUUUAGGGGCUAUUGUACCUAACCGUGGCAUAGCGCUGGGCCAGCAUCAUUUUGUCCGGAUCAAUAUCUACAAAAAUGACGUCCCAAUUAUUAGAAGCUAAUAAUAUAGUGUCUUUGUCGAACAGUCAGCUGUACGAAGUUUCCGCUGUGCCACAAAACGGGUCGACGCCGGUCGCUGAACAUGGGAAGUCCUCAAGUCCACCCAGCAUCGUAUUGAUGAAUCAACAAUACAUCUUACAUCUUACAUCUUACAUCUAGCAUUGCAAUCUUAUAAUUAUUCACCUGAAUGCAUGUAAUCCUGAAUGUACAGUUAAUUUAUUACUACCCAUCUACA